GCUAAACUGCUGCUACCCUCCUGCUCAAGUCACCCUCUGGUCACAGGCUGUGAUGAGAGCCGAGCAUGAAUCCCUGGAAGGUUCCCUUGCAUCUGAAGCCAGGAUUGCUGUCAUUUUUUUCAGGGACUUCACUGAGGGCCAGGGCUUCAGUGAACUGUGGGACGGUCCUGGGAUUCAAAGACUGAAGUGCAGCCUCCCAACCAUCCCGCUACGCUGCCGCCAAAUGCACGAUUUAAGCCCACACCUGGUCGGCAGCAGCAGUGACAGACAUCAGAUACAUACAUGACUCCUCAUCUCUGCUUGCCCCUGUCACAUCUAUUGGGGGUGGUGUCCCCCAGGACUAAGCACCAAGGGGGCUCAGGAGCCAGGUCUCAUGCUUUUCCGUUUCAUCUGCAAGGCUGGCACUGUGUCCAGCACAUGGUAAGUGCUUAAUAAACACACAUCUUAUGGAUGAA
This is a long non-coding RNA of Mesocricetus auratus (golden hamster), 455 nucleotides long. RefSeq lists it as uncharacterized. The record is from RefSeq and is a predicted model, not a curated record. The transcript has 2 exons. Lineage: Eukaryota; Metazoa; Chordata; Mammalia; Rodentia; Cricetidae.